AUGGCGGAUGGCGGCCAAGACAACGAACUUGCUGCUCUCGAGAAAGUGUUGCUCGACGAGAGUGCAGAUCCUGUCGAUCUGCCUUUCUCGCUUCUCAAGGCCAUCACAGGAAACUUCUCUGAAGAUAAUGAAAUUGGCAGCGGCGGGUUUGGAGCGGUUUACAAGGGUGUGCUUCCAAGUGGUCAUACCAUUGCCGUGAAGAAGCUCUUUGAGAGAUUUGAGAUACCGGACAAGAAUUUCGCAAGUGAGAUCGCCUGUCUUGUUGGGGUCAAGCACAAGAACACGGUGCGAUUCCUCGGAUAUUGCUCCAAGACGCAACAUGUGAUGAAGCUGUUUGAGGGGAGGCUUGUCUGGGCAGACGUGCGGCAGAGGUUGCUCUGCUUCGAAUACCUACCCAAAGGGUGCCUUGCUGACUUUCUCUCCGAUGCAUCUUGUCGACACCAGUGGACCACAUGUUACGAAAUAAUAAAGGGGAUGUGUGAGGGAGUACAUUAUCUUCACCAAUAG
This 507-nucleotide ribosomal RNA is filed under the name Triticum aestivum (bread wheat). RNAcentral describes it as "partial small subunit ribosomal RNA". The record is from RNAcentral. Lineage: Eukaryota; Viridiplantae; Streptophyta; Magnoliopsida; Poales; Poaceae.